AAAUGCUUUGUUUAUCAUUUUGUAUUUUAUCUUUGAUUAUUAACAUGCAUGGUAAACUAACUAGAAAGCGAUAAAGCUAAGCUAUUACAUGAUUAGGGGGAGGGGGAACAUUUGACCCACAAUGGGGGGAUGGAUCCACACUAUACAAUGCAAAGGCAUGAAAAGAAAACUACACUUUACAAAUUAGAAAAUAAAAAUAAAAGGAAUAACUUGGAGAAUGUUUGGAUCUCUCAUUCACAUGUCACCACAAAAAAAUAACAAGUGGUUAAUAUGCAUUAAUAAAAUGGAAUUAAAAA
RNAcentral lists this long non-coding RNA (296 nucleotides) under Lathyrus oleraceus (garden pea). Its description in RNAcentral is "Pisum sativum (pea) long non-coding RNA (PSAT_LNC011960)". The record is from RNAcentral. Lineage: Eukaryota; Viridiplantae; Streptophyta; Magnoliopsida; Fabales; Fabaceae.